GACGAACGCUGGCGGCGUGCUUAACACAUGCAAGUCGAACGGAAAGGCCCCUUUUGGGGUGCUCGAGUGGCUAACGGGCGAGUAACACGUACGUAACCUGCCCUUGCCUUCCUUAUGGCUACCUUCAACUGGGUCUAAUACCUGAUAGGAAUCCUUUCUUCAUGGAGGGGGUUGGUAAGCUUCUGCGGGUUUGUGUGUACUCGCGCCUUAUCCUCUUGUUGGUGGGUUCUUUGCUUACCUAGGCUUUGACGGGUGGCCGGCCUGUGAGGGCGACCGGCCACAUUGGGACUUAGAUACGGCCCAGACUCCCACGGGAGGCAGCAGUGGGGAAUAUUGGAAAAUGGGCGGGAGCCUGAUGCAGCAAAGGCGCGGGCGGGAUUACCGCCUUCGGGUUGGAAAACGGUUUUAGCAGGUGCGAAGCUGGGGGUGACGGUACCUGCAGAAGAAGCACCGGCUAACUACGUG
This 465-nucleotide ribosomal RNA is filed under the name uncultured bacterium. RNAcentral describes it as "partial 16S ribosomal RNA". It matches the Rfam family "Bacterial small subunit ribosomal RNA", at positions 28 to 507 of the family's 1533-position model. The record is from RNAcentral.